RNAcentral lists this ribosomal RNA (253 nucleotides) under uncultured bacterium. Its description in RNAcentral is "partial 16S ribosomal RNA". It matches the Rfam family "Bacterial small subunit ribosomal RNA", at positions 524 to 776 of the family's 1533-position model. The record is from RNAcentral.
UACGUAGGGUGCAGGCGUUAAUCGGAAUUAUUGGGCGUAAAGCGUCCGCAGGUGGCUAUACAAGUCUGCUGUUAAAGCGUGGGGCUUAACUCCAUACAGGCAGUGGAAACUGUAAAGCUAGAGUCUGGUAGGGGUCACGGGAAUUCCCAGUGUAGCGGUGAAAUGCGUAGAUAUUGGGAAGAACACCAGCGGCGAAAGCGCGUGACUGGGCCGGAACUGACACUCAUGGACGAAAGCUAGGGGAGCGAAAGGG